UGAAUAUCCCAUGGGCUGGUGACCCUAUUUGUAAGUACGCCCUGUCUUACAGCGCAUGGACCCUAACUGAGGAACUGCUGAUGUGAACAAUGCGCAGGAGUUGGAUGUGAGCAACAGCAGCAACUUGGUGUGGAGCUUCCUGGAGAACAGACACAGUUUUACAAAGAAAUAGCACACCUUGGAAAUGAUGCUUGUUAAGUUACAGAAGUAGUAACCAACUUUCGCCUCCUGCUGUUUUAUGUGUAUGGGUUUUCCUGGAUAGUUCUAGUGGAAAGAUGUUCAUCAUCCUGAAGAGUAUGGAAAACAUAUCUUGCAGCCAGCCAUUACGAACCGGCAUCCAUCUUACUACAAUAUAUACCAAUGAAUAAGGGCCUCCAGAAUAACAUGAGAUACAGUCUAAUCAAAAACACGUUUGGGAUCAUGCUGAGUAUCGUUGACUGAAAAUAUUGGAGCACAGCACCACUGUGGGUGUGUUACAUAAAUUGCCACAAUGGAGUGUUUUUCAGAUUCUUCAGCUGAGAGGCCAUCUGUCAUUGAAAGUGGCACAUUCACCUGCUCAUCACUUCUGCAGCAGUCUGUGUGCUAGACAGGGUACAUCCAGAUGAAGUUAACAACAGGAGCAGCUCUUCAUACAGCUGAGUUUGGAAAGACUUAGUAAUCAAGUCACUCCUUCAGAUGGGAGCAAACACCGCAAAUAGAUCGCUCUUUCUAUCCAAGAGAACAGCAAGUGCUUUCCGCUUUGCUUCAGAAAAGAGCAAACUAGUUCCCUGAGGGAUGUUUUUCUACUCAGUAGAAUCCAGCAUUGCCUCCGUGGGCACUUGUCUACCAUUCCUGACCUGCAGCACAUAGGGCCUCCACGACUGAAAAAUGAAGAUGACUGUAAGAGCUCUGAUGAACCUGUUUGGACAACAGACAGCAACAAAUACCUGUCUCGGUGGAGGAGUUUAAGAGCACUGCAGAGAUUCUCAGACAGUACAGAAUAUCUUGGCUCGCACAGGCCACUCUCUUUAUCUCAAAACAAUACCAGCCAAGCUCCUCUGUACCUACAACUGAAGAGCUGCAGGAACAGGAGGACAGUAGCUAACACAGCUUUUAAAUUGAAUCUCCUUGUCUUAUUAAAAAAAGAAAAAGAAAGAAAAAGAAAAAAAGAAAAAGACAUGCAUUCUAAGCAAGAUGAGGUAUCUGAUUCCAAGGAAGAAAACUAUGCACGGCAGGUUGAAGCUACAGGGGCAGUCCUGACUGGUUUUUCUCCAUCCAGCUACUUUACUUACGGCCCUUUGAAACCAGCAGUUCCUGUGGAUCAGGACUUAAAGUGAUGCUGGGGACUUGCUGAGCCAUCGCCGACCCUCAGCAGUGAGGCCAUGCCGAGCCCUGUUCCAUGUCCCGGGGGGAGCCCGGCACCGAGAGCAGCAAAACCCGCCAGGGGGUAACACAGGUGCGUGAAAAAUGUUUGGAACAUGGCUCUCUAUUGAUUUUACAUUAAUGUUUGACACGUAGAGCGGGGAUAAUAUUCCAGUGGCAAUUACCCUCAAGACAUGCACCAUUAUACAAAAUAAAUGUCAGUGCUUGCC
This 1571-nucleotide long non-coding RNA is filed under the name Calidris pugnax (ruff). RNAcentral's name for it is "lncRNA (ENSCPUG00000002545.1)". Lineage: Eukaryota; Metazoa; Chordata; Aves; Charadriiformes; Scolopacidae. The record is from RNAcentral.